Molecule: transfer RNA, 85 nt
Filed under: Oceanispirochaeta sp. M1
Lineage: Bacteria; Pseudomonadati; Spirochaetota; Spirochaetia; Spirochaetales; Spirochaetaceae
Also listed under: 1 other name
Rfam family: tRNA
About the family: Transfer RNA (tRNA) molecules are approximately 80 nucleotides in length.
Source: Rfam by way of RNAcentral
GGAGAGGUGACCGAGUGGCCGAAGGUGUGCGCUUGGAAAGCGUAUGUACAGCAAUGUACCGGGGGUUCGAAUCCCCCCCUCUCCG